This 30-nucleotide non-coding RNA is filed under the name Rattus norvegicus (Norway rat). The record is from RNAcentral. Lineage: Eukaryota; Metazoa; Chordata; Mammalia; Rodentia; Muridae.
UGGGAAUUCUCCUCUUUGAGUUAGGAUCCU